UACGUAGGAAGCAAGCGUUGUCCGGAAUGACUGGGCGUAAAGGGUGCGUAGGCGGUCUUUUAAGUUUGAUGUGAAAUCCUGUGGCUCAACCAUAGAACUGCAUCAAAUACUGGGAGGCUAGAGUGCGGAAGAGGUAGACGGAAUUACUAGUGUAGCGGUAGAAUGCGUAGAUAUUAGUAAGAAGACCGGUGGCGAAGGCGGUCUACUGGGACGUAACUGACGCUGAGGCACGAAAGCGUGGGGAGCAAACA
RNAcentral lists this ribosomal RNA (251 nucleotides) under uncultured bacterium. Its description in RNAcentral is "partial 16S ribosomal RNA". It matches the Rfam family "Bacterial small subunit ribosomal RNA", at positions 524 to 774 of the family's 1533-position model. The record is from RNAcentral.